RNAcentral lists this ribosomal RNA (262 nucleotides) under uncultured bacterium. RNAcentral describes it as "partial 16S ribosomal RNA". It matches the Rfam family "Bacterial small subunit ribosomal RNA", at positions 793 to 1055 of the family's 1533-position model. The record is from RNAcentral.
GUCCACGCUGUAAACGUUGGGCGCUAGGUGUGGGGAACCUCUCCGGUUUUCUGCGCCGCAGCUAACGCAUUAAGCGCCCCGCCUGGGGAGUACGGCCGCAAGGCUAAAACUCAAAGGAAUUGACGGGGGCCCGCACAAGCGGCGGAGCAUGCGGAUUAAUUCGAUGCAACGCGAAGAACCUUACCUGGGUUUGACAUCGCCGGAAAACUCGUAGAGAUACGGGGUCCUUCGGGGCCGGUGACAGGUGGUGCAUGGCUGUCGU